Molecule: ribosomal RNA, 746 nt
Filed under: uncultured bacterium
Lineage: Bacteria
Description: bacterial SSU rRNA
Rfam family: Bacterial small subunit ribosomal RNA
Source: RNAcentral
CAGACUAGAGGUCGUAGAGGGAGGUGGACUCCAGGUGUAGUGGUGAAAUGCGUAGAUAUCUGGAGGAACACCAGUGGCGAAAGCGACCUCCUGGACCGUACCUGACGCUCAGACGCGAAAGCUAGGGGAGCGAACGGGAUUAGAGACCCCGGUAGUCCUAGCUGUAAACGAUGCAGACUUGGCGUCGGUGGGGUAAAAGCCAUCGGUGCCGAAGCUAACGUGAUAAGUCUGCCGCCUGAGGACUACGGCCGCAAGGUUAAAACUCAAAGGAAUUGACGGGGCCCCGCACAAGCAGCGGAGCGUGUGGUUUAAUUCGUUGCUACGCGAAGAACCUUACCCGGGUUUGACAUAUAGGUGGUAGGGAACAGAGAUGUGACCGACCCUUCGGGGAGCCUAUACAGGUGCUGCAUGGCUGUCGUCAGCUCGUGUCGCGAGAUGUCCGGUUAAGUCCGGUAACGAGCGCAACCCUCGCCACGUGUUACAUGUGUCACGUGGGACCGCCGGUAUCAAGCCGGAGGAAGGCGGGGAUGACGUCAAGUCAGCAUGGCCUUUAUAUCCGGGGCUACACACACGCUACAAUGGCCGGUACAAUGGGUUGCAAAACCGCGAGGUAGAGCCAAUCCCCAAAGCCGGCCUCAGUUCAGAUUGCAGGCUGCAACUCGCCUGCAUGAAGUCGGAGUUGCUAGUAACCGCGCGUCAGCAUUAGUGCGGUGAAUACGUUCCCGGGGCUUGUACACACCGCCCGU